UGUUUUCUCUUUAAAUGCGAUCGGACGGAUGGAAUUGAUCAUGAUGGAUGGUCUUGAUUCGCACACGUGAUCGACCUAAAUAGGCAAUGAUCAGAUGGUUCUCCUCGCUCCACAUCGACUUGAACGGAUGGCUUAUAUCGAAUAGAGAUGAGUAUUUAAACUCCUCUUCACAAGGAACCAAAAUCCUAGCUAACAGAAGGGUGACUGGAGAAGGAAAAGAAGGGUGACUGGGAAGUGAACCAGAUGCUGGAGAAGGAGAUCGACCACCGUUGUCGCUGCACUAGAGCCACCACCGACAUUGAAAAGGUAAG
This 311-nucleotide long non-coding RNA is filed under the name Carica papaya (papaya). RNAcentral describes it as "long non-coding RNA (CPAP_LNC000166)". The record is from RNAcentral. Lineage: Eukaryota; Viridiplantae; Streptophyta; Magnoliopsida; Brassicales; Caricaceae.